This 28-nucleotide non-coding RNA is filed under the name Rattus norvegicus (Norway rat). Lineage: Eukaryota; Metazoa; Chordata; Mammalia; Rodentia; Muridae. The record is from RNAcentral.
UGCGUUGUAAUCUUCCCAAGAGGCCAGC